This 253-nucleotide ribosomal RNA is filed under the name uncultured bacterium. Its description in RNAcentral is "partial 16S ribosomal RNA". It matches the Rfam family "Bacterial small subunit ribosomal RNA", at positions 524 to 776 of the family's 1533-position model. The record is from RNAcentral.
UACGUAGGGGGCAAGCGUUGUCCGGAUUUAUUGGGCGUAAAGAGCGUGUAGGCGGCCGUACAGGUCAGCUGUGAAAACUCGAGGCUCAACCUCGAGACGUCGGUUGAAACCGUACGGCUAGAGUCCGGAAGAGGAGAGUGGAAUUCCCGGUGUAGCGGUGAAAUGCGCAGAUAUCGGGAAGAACACCCGUGGCGAAGGCGGCUCUCUGGGACGGUACUGACGCUGAGACGCGAAAGCGUGGUGAGCGAACAGG